RNAcentral lists this ribosomal RNA (951 nucleotides) under Microbacterium yannicii. Its description in RNAcentral is "bacterial SSU rRNA". It matches the Rfam family "Bacterial small subunit ribosomal RNA", at positions 56 to 1016 of the family's 1533-position model. Lineage: Bacteria; Bacillati; Actinomycetota; Actinomycetes; Micrococcales; Microbacteriaceae. The record is from RNAcentral.
UGCAAGUCGAACGGUGAAGCCCAGCUUGCUGGGUGGAUCAGUGGCGAACGGGUGAGUAACACGUGAGCAACCUGCCCCUGACUCUGGGAUAAGCGCUGGAAACGGCGUCUAAUACUGGAUACGAGACGUGAUCGCAUGGUCGACGUCUGGAAAGAUUUUUUGGUUGGGGAUGGGCUCGCGGCCUAUCAGCUUGUUGGUGAGGUAAUGGCUCACCAAGGCGUCGACGGGUAGCCGGCCUGAGAGGGUGACCGGCCACACUGGGACUGAGACACGGCCCAGACUCCUACGGGAGGCAGCAGUGGGGAAUAUUGCACAAUGGGCGCAAGCCUGAUGCAGCAACGCCGCGUGAGGGAUGACGGCCUUCGGGUUGUAAACCUCUUUUAGCAAGGAAGAAGCGAAAGUGACGGUACUUGCAGAAAAAGCGCCGGCUAACUACGUGCCAGCAGCCGCGGUAAUACGUAGGGCGCAAGCGUUAUCCGGAAUUAUUGGGCGUAAAGAGCUCGUAGGCGGUUUGUCGCGUCUGCUGUGAAAUCCCGAGGCUCAACCUCGGGUCUGCAGUGGGUACGGGCAGACUAGAGUGCGGUAGGGGAGAUUGGAAUUCCUGGUGUAGCGGUGGAAUGCGCAGAUAUCAGGAGGAACACCGAUGGCGAAGGCAGAUCUCUGGGCCGUAACUGACGCUGAGGAGCGAAAGGGUGGGGAGCAAACAGGCUUAGAUACCCUGGUAGUCCACCCCGUAAACGUUGGGAACUAGUUGUGGGGUCCUUUCCACGGAUUCCGUGACGCAGCUAACGCAUUAAGUUCCCCGCCUGGGGAGUACGGCCGCAAGGCUAAAACUCAAAGGAAUUGACGGGGACCCGCACAAGCGGCGGAGCAUGCGGAUUAAUUCGAUGCAACGCGAAGAACCUUACCAAGGCUUGACAUACACGAGAACACCCUAGAAAUAGGGGACUC